Molecule: non-coding RNA, 27 nt
Filed under: Mus musculus (house mouse)
Lineage: Eukaryota; Metazoa; Chordata; Mammalia; Rodentia; Muridae
Source: RNAcentral
UGCAAAGAAGGCUUAGCUCUACACCUG